GCAGGAAAGAAAUUUGCGGAGAUAUAUUCAGUUUCUUUGUGCAGGUUGAGCCUUUAUUUACUUUCGGCAGCGAGCUUCGCACUUGUUUAAAACUUGGCUUGCACACUGGUAUUGCAAUACAGGGACAAGUUGUUUGCAGAUAACCAAACACAGUCAUUGUUGCGACUUAGUAGAUGCAAUUGAAGUGAAAGUCAAACUGAUUUGAAAUCAUUUUAGUAUGUUCAACAAAUUAUGCCUUACUUAUAUCGCGUGUUGAAGCCAUAUCCAUUCGAAGAUCCUGCGAAUGGACUAGUAGCGGACAACCCCUAUGCAACUUAUACCGUUGUGGAGCACGUAGCCAAAGGACAUCUGAAAACACAGUUUAUUUCGACAUGCAAAACAUAUAUUGCAGCUAUGGAAUUCGCUGAAAAAGGAAAACCGAUGGCAGUGCAGAUGCAAACGACAGGAAAAAGGAAAAUAGUUUCAAUUGAUAUCUUGAAAUUAAUUCAGCUAGCUCCUGAUUGUAUAUUUUAUGAUCUUACGCACCCUGCUAUUCUAAAUCAGUUUAUACCUCCUCUAUUAAACGGAUCAACCGACUUUGCCAGGAAUUGUGCAAACAAAUUUGCUGAAGAACUUAUACAGAUUCCAAUAAUAAAGCAGCUGCCUUCACUGGAUUGUAAAACAAAUGUGUUGGUACCUCAUCCAGACUUACCGGGAAGGAUACCACCAGAAUGUUUGACUGUGAUAGGUUGCGUUUAAGUUUUAAUGCUACUAGGAAAACACAAUGUUGCAUGUAUGAUAAAACACCGGAAAUCUAAGUAUUAAGUGCAUCCGUUGUGUAAAGUUUCAUUUUCUCUCUAACUUUAUGUUACUGGGACUUCAAAUUUAAGUCUCUGUGAUCCAAUAUGUUACAUUUGUUUCACCGUUUUAUAAUCAAAAGUAAUCUGAAUGUUUGUUUGAGGAUAUUUCGAGGAUAAGUCGUAAAAGACCCUUUGUCACGUCCCCUAAUUUGUGGAUAAUAGGUCAUCUGGUUCCAAAGUCUGACGUAGUGCCAAGGAUACCAACUUUAUAUAUACAGCAGUAACAGUUUUAGUUACAAAGCUCUUUUUACAUGGGAAAUCGACAUGAAUAUAUACAAUACUACUCUGAUACGUUAUUAUUCUGUCAUUCUCCCUCUUUGAAGAUCAUAGUAUAACGUUUCAGUCGCACACAAAUCCCGUCGGUGAAAAGCUAGCUCAUCACCAAAGGUGAUUUAUCGUUCUUAUAUACUGUCAUCUUACUCUAAUGACAAUUGACAGGUUUUCAAAUUUACAUAUUAAAGGUCCAUUACUAAGGGAAAGUGAGUUGGCAAUUUUUUUCAUAGCCAGUGCAUAGACUUCUGCAAGACACUAAAUAAUGAAGAUUGGCAGGUCAAAAUUUACAGAAGGUCUUUGGAACUCAAAGAAAUGUAUGUGUAUUAUGUUGAAAUUUCAAUGAAUCGACAGAAUGACCCCCCAGGUCUUUUUAACUUUCUUCAUACUUCAUAGAAAAAUAAUUGUACAUAUACUGCGAUUUAUUUCGAAUUUCUAUAUACCAACUUUCAUUUUCCAAUAAAAUGAAAUAGUUUCUGUGCUUUUUAAAAGAAAUUAAAAUGUUCACUUUCCUUAGUAUUGGACCUUUAAUGGAAUUACUUCCCUUUAUGCAUUCAGUAAUCGUUACAUUACUUUCCCCUCCGAGAAAUCUCGCCCCGAGAUUUGGCCUAGGAAAUGCAUGGGUAAGGCAACUCCAGUCCGGCAGUUGACUUCAUCCCACCGCUGCCACCAUUUAUAACGUUUCAGUCGCACACAAAUCCCGUCGGUGAAAAGCUAGCUCAUCACCAAAGGUGAUUUAUCGUUCUUAUAUACUGUCAUCUUACUCUAAUGACAAUUGACAGGUUUUCAAAUUUACAUAUUAAUGGAAUUACUUCCCUUUAUGCAUUCAGUAAUCGUUACAAUAGAUCGUCGAUAAACUGACUACUUUAUGUCAAAAGUCUGUUAGAACCCAUUAUAUUCAGCAAAAUUGAUUGAAUAUGUGUAUUAUAUAAAAGUGUGAAAUAGUACAUUGUGUAUAUUAUCCUUAUAGUCUUUUAAUGUUUUAGUAUCUAAAUCCAUUUUUUCCUGUUUAGUAUAAUUAGUGUAAUUUUAUUAAUUAUGGCUAGUUAAUUCAUUUUGCAUUUUUUUUUUUUAGUUUUUGUUUUAAUUUGUAUUUUUUUUUUGUAUUUUGUAAUAUAUUCUUUCAAUCACUUUUGAAAAACAAGAGCUGUCCGCAAGACAGCGCGCUCGACUUUUCUCAGUGCUUGACUCUGAAUUAGAGCUUUGCCAGUAAAAACUUUAUAAAACCUAUUUUAAAAAGUGGCAUAACUCUGUCAAAAUUCAAAUCAGAGUAAUGGGGUUUGUUUCCCCUAAUGUAGACUUUGAUAAUAAAUAACUUUUUUAAGUUUGAAGUCAAUAGCUUUGAUAGAAACAAAGAUAUUUGACUUAAUUAAAAACUUUUAUCAAAAAGUUCUAAGUUAGAAAAGGGCAUAAAUCUGUCAAAAUUCAAAUCGGAGUUGAUUCUCCUGGUGUAGACUUUGAUAGUAAAUAACUAUUUUAUAGUUUCAAGUCAAUAGCUUUGAUAGUAACAAAGAUAUUUGAUGUUAUCAAAAAGUUUAACCAAAUAUUCUAAGUUAAAACGGGGCAUAACUCUGUCAAAAUUCAAUUUAAGUUGUGGGAAUUCCUAAUAUAUCACAUUUUCCAGUAUUUUACAAAAUGAUUAGCAGCAGUUGCAGCUACUAUCAAUGCUUUGAGCGCUUCGAUGUAGAGGUGAACCGACCAAUAUUGUUUAUUUUUAAAUAUCGUAAUUAUAACCGACUAACUUACAAAAAUCAAGAUACAUAGUUAACGAAAGUGAAUAUGUGUAUGGCAGUAGUGGGCACUAGUGCCACUUGCCAUGCCAGAUAAUAAGUUAAUAACAGAAUAAGUGACACUUUCACGAAAAAUUUCGAGAUAAAUAAGUGGAUAUGCAGUUGGCAGAAAUAUGCCACCAUAAUAUCUAGGCAAUGAUAUAAUGUUACAGUCACCUAAGUUAUUUUAUAUGUUGAUAUUUUGGAAAGAACAUAUAUGAAGCUUUUUGGCUUAGCGCUAAACUUUGUUUGUUCUUUCACUGCUUAAUAAAGACGAAGAAAAAUAAAUGGUCACGAGUUUCAUUAAAAACAAGAGCUGUCACUAUUUGUGACAGAUGCCCCAAGCAUUUAUGCCAAGAAAUUUUGAUGAUCCUUCAUCGAUGGCAGAGUUAUGAACCGGACAAGAAACAGGUCAUGUUAACCUUUAACCUCUAAAUGUGAGCUUGACCGUAGAUCAUAGGGAACAUUUAUGCCAAGUAAUUUCAAAAUCCCUUGAUAAAUGGCAGAGUUAUGAACCGGACACAAAACAGACCCUGUUAACUUUUGACUCCAAAGUCUGACCUUGACCUUGGAACUCGGGGUCUUGGUCUUACGCAUGGCACAUUGUCUCUUUAUUUUAAACAUUUAUGUCAGUAAUUUCAAAAUCCCUUUAUGGAUGGCAGAGUUAUGGACCGGACACGAAACAGAUCCUGCUAACAUUUGACCUCAUGCUCAUGUCUUGUGUGCAAAUACCAACUUUCCUGCUAUUCAGUGUCUCCAAAAAUUAAAAUAUCUAAGGAAGAUAAGGGAAGAUUCCUGUUUGGUUACAUCAGAAACGUCAAUUAUUGAACAAGUUCAAAGUCUAUCUGUACUUGAUAACUUUCAGUCAGACAACCAUAGGGUUAUCUUAUACUUCGGGCUGUCUUAAAUACCUAUUUGCUAUUAAUCUUUAUAUGGAAUAUUAAAACGGAGAACAUGUUUAAGUACUCCAAGCAAUAUAUUGUAGAUUUCUAAGAGAACUGUUUUAGCGUUUGAAUGCUGCAACUGUUGUCUUGGUCAUCUCUGACAAAGCCUUUCAUUAUUUAUUGAUUGCUUCUUUAGAGCCUUACCGUGUAUUUUAUUCAGCACGUCAGAUACGUCAACUUCUUUAUUGUUGCUUCUGUAUACUUUGUUGAAUUGAGAAAUCUGUCAUACUUGUUGUUACCUAUACUUUGAAACCUUGUCAGGGAAAAAU
Mercenaria mercenaria is the source of this 4091-nucleotide long non-coding RNA. RefSeq lists it as uncharacterized. The transcript has 3 exons. The record is from RefSeq and is a predicted model, not a curated record. Lineage: Eukaryota; Metazoa; Mollusca; Bivalvia; Venerida; Veneridae.